This 492-nucleotide ribosomal RNA is filed under the name uncultured bacterium. RNAcentral describes it as "partial 16S ribosomal RNA". It matches the Rfam family "Bacterial small subunit ribosomal RNA", at positions 29 to 507 of the family's 1533-position model. The record is from RNAcentral.
AGUGAACGCUGGCGGUAGGCCUAACACAUGCAAGUCGAACGGCAGCACAGUAAGAGCUUGCUCUUACGGGUGGCGAGUGGCGGACGGGUGAGGAAUACAUCGGAAUCUACUUUUUCGUGGGGGAUAACGUAGGGAAACUUACGCUAAUACCGCAUACGACCUACGGGUGAAAGCAGGGGAUCUUCGGACCUUGCGCGAUUGAAUGAGCCGAUGUCGGAUUAGCUAGUUGGCGGGGUAAAGGCCCACCAAGGCGACGAUCCGUAGCUGGUCUGAGAGGAUGGUUAGCCAACCUGGAAACUGGACACGGGCCAUGCUCCUACGGGAGGGCACAGUGGGGAAUUAUGGGCAAUGGGGGGAAAGCUUGUCCAACCAUAACGCGUUGGUUGAAGAAGCCCUUCGGGUGGUAAGGCCCUUUUGUGGGGAAAAAAAGCAACCGGGUUAUACCCCGCUGGUCUGACGGUAACCAAAAAAUAAGCACCGGCUAACUUCGUG